UAAACAACAACAACCACCUCCCCAUACAGAUGCAUUAUGUUUGGCUACAGUUGUAUACGAACCCAUUGUCUAUAUAUACCUCAAGUUUUUCCAAUACCAUUUUUUCACCAUUAGUGUGAAGUUCAGAAUAAUUAUCCUGUAAUGCACCUGAUAGUAUGCGGCUUUUCUGAAAAUCAUGUGAGUUCCUCUCUCAACUAUCUCAUCUUUAGAUAUUGGCAUCGCUUACAUUGUAUCUUAUGGUACCAUUAAAAACCAGUAGUGACAUUUAAAGGAAUGAGAAAAAUAUUGAAAAGUGAUUUAAAAAACCCCAUUUAAGUGAAGACAAGUAAAGCCUUCCUUUCCUCUUCCCCUCCCCCCACAACCUCUCCGCUUCCUGGCCACAGGAAGAGAUCCAGUGGAGGGGCUGGGAAUCCUCCAUUCAGGAGAGCACUAAAAAUCGUUACAAGCAGUGAUUUUUUUUUCCUAGAAAAAUACUCAAGGUACUCACCAUGAAGUUGUUACAGUAAGUAUCACACUAUUUAACAACAACAGAAAGAGAUGCCAGUACUGCGAACUCUUGAGUACCCCCCGGGGAAAAAGCACGGGACCAGCACAGGAAAAAAAGAAAGUGCUGAGCAAAUUGCAGGCAUGGAAAGUGUAUUCAUAUAAGGAUCUGUGUAGAUUUAAAUACAGAAUUGGUGCUGGAAUAAGGAAGAAAACAUGAACAAGGUGUUAGACAAGCUUUAGAGUGUAGAAAUUUGUAGCUUUUAAAUUUAUGGUUUUUUGGCGGACUUCCCCUCCAUGCAAUAAAUCUGCUAUGAAAGGACUAACUGUGCCUAGAGAAGAAGGCAGAAGAUGCUUCACUCACGUGCUUUCUGGAUCUAAUAUUAAGGCAGGCUAGAAUUUGAACUUGUCUACAUUUUAACAUGUAUUUGUCACAAAACUUUAUUUGUUAUUCUCUUAAUAAAUAUACUAUAUACCACUUGA
Non-coding RNA from Podarcis muralis (Common wall lizard), 966 nucleotides. The record is from RefSeq and is a predicted model, not a curated record. NCBI's taxonomy places the organism in Eukaryota, Metazoa, Chordata, Lepidosauria, Squamata, Lacertidae.